This 435-nucleotide ribosomal RNA is filed under the name uncultured bacterium. RNAcentral describes it as "partial 16S ribosomal RNA". It matches the Rfam family "Bacterial small subunit ribosomal RNA", at positions 29 to 507 of the family's 1533-position model. The record is from RNAcentral.
AGCGAACGCUGGCGGCAGGCUUAACACAUGCAAGUCGAGCGGGCACUUUCGGGUGUCAGCGGCGGACGGGUGAGUAACGCGUGGGAACGUGCCCUCUGGUUCGGAAUAACUCAGGGAAACUUGAGCUAAUACCAGAUACGCCCUUUUGGGGAAAGGCUUGCUGCCGGAGGAUCGGCCCGCGUCUGAUUAGCUAGUUGGUGAGGUAACGGCUCACCAAGGCGACGAUCAGUAGCUGGUCUGAGAGGAUGAUCAGCCACACUGGGACUGAGACACGGCCCAGACUCCUACGGGAGGCAGCAGUGGGGAAUAUUGGACAAUGGGCGCAAGCCUGAUCCAGCCAUGCCGCGUGAGUGAUCAAGGCCUUAGGGUUGUAAAGCUCUUUUAUCCGGGACGAUAAUGACGGUACCGGAGGAAUAAGCCCCGGCUAACUUCGUG